AUGCAGAUGUGCCGUGCCAUACCCCUCUGCUGCUCCAGGAGGACCUGCCCAAAUGUAGCCAGGCAAUUUGGUACUGCCAGGAAGACAAGCAGCACAGUGUGUGGUGAGCACUGCAGAAUGCUAACCUGUCCAUGUCAUCCAUGCUCCCUUAUUGUGUCACACAGUGCGUGGACAUCUGUGGGAGCCCUCCGUGCAUACCCAGGACAGGCAUGGGAGAGGAGGCCUCUUAGCCGGGAACCUUGGUCUGCUUUGUCCAGCGUUAGAGAUGUUCCCUGGCUGGUCCUCUUUCUUGUAGGUGUGGAUGGUGCCUCCAGAGCUAUCCCUUGUGUGCGGGUAAGCCAGCCUGCCACCCAUCCCGGCUUUUCUUCAGCUUUCCUUUGUCUGGGUAGAAGCACAUAUCCUGCCCACGGAGGGACGUGACACCACCAUGCGUGUGGUGAGGCAACAUGUGCGUGCUGGUGUCCGUGCUGCGGGCACCCCUGCACCCGGUCUCGGGUGACUGCCAGUCAGAGGCACAUAGCUGUCCCCAUCUAACAGCUGGCACAGCUGAGGAGCUUUGCUUGCCUUAUUAACAGCCCACUUAUCUGGAAUCUGCUCACUGAGCAGAAACUGCUCCAUAAAUCCUCCCGCAAUUUGCAUUCCUCUUUGCUGUCGCUCAUUACCACUGACCUCACUUCUUCUGCUGGAGCUGAUCAGCCUCCCACCGUCCUGCCUGCGAGACGCCUCUCCAUUACCACAACCUAUUAGCAGUGGCAGCAGCAGCGCCUCCGUGAAUGAACGCACGACUGCUGAGUCAGGAAACUUCCCCAGCUCGACUCUUUCUUUGCUCCCUCCCAGCCCCGGGAGGGAGGCAGCGACAGCGAGUGCAGCUCAAUUGCUCUCCUUGCUUGCUUCAAGGCCAGGUUCCGCAUCCCGGGGAGCCCAGCGGGGUCGUUACUGGACUUGCACCCUUGGAGGCACAGGUGGGAAAUGAGGUGCAUCGGUUGGAAGCAUCUGAAACCAGAAGCGCUUGCUAAUCAACCCUGGGGGUUUCCAAAUUAGCAGCUCACCCACUCGGUGCAUGUGCAUGCAGGUUUCCAGCUUAAUACCUGACUCUUCAGUCUGUGGGAAAUGUCUCUUCUGCUUCAUUCCUCAGAGUCGGAGAUGAAGCAAAUACCUACAAACACACCUCUCACCGUAGUGACAAGCUGAGAGGAAGCUGAAGCAGCUCAGCCUGCUCUGCUGUGCUCUCCAGCCCUGGACCUAAGAGGUCACCAGUGCCAGGGGCUUGUGAUUGGAUGAGGAAGGCAGGGAUUCACGUUCAAGAUCCCCUUCCCGACUGUGUGCCCGUGCUGCAGGAUUUGUCAGGGUUCAUGUGGCCUCCGCUCUCCUUGCAAGGAUGUGGCAGCACCAGCUGAGUGCCAGGCUCCCAGGCAGGAGG
This 1420-nucleotide long non-coding RNA is filed under the name Anser brachyrhynchus (Pink-footed goose). Its description in RNAcentral is "lncRNA (ENSABRG00000009901.1)". Lineage: Eukaryota; Metazoa; Chordata; Aves; Anseriformes; Anatidae. The record is from RNAcentral.